Molecule: long non-coding RNA, 2873 nt
Organism: Hirundo rustica (Barn swallow)
Lineage: Eukaryota; Metazoa; Chordata; Aves; Passeriformes; Hirundinidae
Exons: 12
Source: RefSeq, a predicted model, not a curated record
GCCAGGGCACCGCGCUGCCUGCUCUGCUGCGAGGCAGCACCGACACGCCGCGCACGGGGCUGGAAUGUCCUUUACAGCAUGGAGCAUCCCGCCCCGCUGCUUUAUGGAACGGGAGGUCUGGAACUGGCCGGAGUGACAGCAGGCGGCACCGUCCUGUCACAGCGUCCGUCAUCUCCCGUGCGUGGGACAGCACCGGCCUCUCUCCGUGACUGCAGCCCAUGAGUGCCUGCGCUGGAGAGAGCCCAAGGCUUCACCAUCCUGCAUCUUCUUCGAAGUACAAAUAUAGCCAGUCCAGACUCAGAAUGAGCUGCAGGAGCCCUCCAGGUGUGGCUGCUAGAGAUAAAGCAACUGGAUAAAUCUACUAAGAAAUUCAAGUGUUUAAUUUGGGUUAAAAGUCUCUCUGCAGGUGGAAUGCCCUCCUGUCCCUCAAGCGGCUCAGCAGAUUAGCCAGGAGGAAAACCAACAGCAAAAUGGACCAAAGUUGUCAAGUUUGCUCAGCUCCUUACCUGCUCCACACAACAGGAACCCAGUUCUGCCCCAGCAGGUACAACCAGCAGGCUGGGAUAAGAACCAUGUGCUUGUGGUACCAGCUCCAGUUCCCUCACAACAACAGUAGGAAACAUAAGUUUAAUUAUGUUUACUUGAUGGAAAAUGAAAUUCUGCAGUGAAUAACAGCAUGAGGAAAGAAGGUUUAUGGUCUCUGAAACAUCUCCCCAAACUCCAUGAGGCCCCACAGCCAAAACCAAACCAUGGUUAUAUUUUGGAAGAAAUGCAGUGGAUGGAAACUGAUUUUUUUCAAGAAAGAGGGUGAAAGAUGAUAACUGCCAAGAGGCAUACAGACUGGUCUGUCUUUGAUGUGAUUGGGGUGGAAAACCAAAUUACUUGCAACAAAGCACAAAUGCUGCCAAAACUGAAGGUAACUGGAAUGCUUAUAGAGGAGAUCUGCUCCCCUUCAUCACCCAGACUUGAACCAGUGAAGCUCAAACCAAAUAGGGUAUCGCAGGGGAAAAAAGACAACUAAAGGAACGCCUGGACGAAAUAGACUUCUGGAAUGAGCCUCAUUGUUCCAGAACACUGGAACAGGGCAGAGACCUGUUGGAAACUUGCUCUUGGAUCAGUGAAAGAAAAAUCUCUCAGCAUUGUUCUGCCAGGAUUGACAAGUGGUGCUGGGCUGGCUUUGCAAAUUGCCUUCCAUAUUCCAGCACUUCUGAGGCUCUAAGGAUCCAUUGCAGGAAUUCAUUCUGACACUGAAACAGCAACAGAUUGCCCUGAAGGAUGUUAUUAUCAGAGACCUGUGCGUGUUCCCAGCUGUAGCUGUUGCUCCUCCAUGUUUGUAUGGAGGAGAUCCUUACACAUGGACCCAUGGAGUGAAGCUCUUGCAGUUCAGUCUGGAGGAACAGAGAUGGUGCAGCGUGAUCCAGGUUUAAACCCCACUGGUUACACCUGUGUGCAGGGGCUCUCUAAUUGUGAGUGUGACCUGCAGAACUCUCAGGUUCUCAUUCAUUCAGGCAAGCUGGGAGCUCUGGCUGUCCUGCUUUGGAGGCUGAAAGCAGAAGGGAGAGCAGGUGCUGACUUUGACACACGUGAUUGCAAUGCUCAGCAUCCUGGAGCUUUUCCUGAAUUUCCAUUUCCUCAUGUGAGUGAGAGUUAGUGAGAGUGCUGCUCACAGCUGGCAUUGUCUGAUGCAGUAUAAAGCAUAAAAGAAUACUUUGCCUUAAAGCAACAGAAGGCAGCACAACAGAAGGGAUUUGAUUUAGUCAAUAGACAAGAAAAAUGAUGGAGCACGUACAGGAAUAACUAUUCAGUCAGGUGUCAGUCACACAGAUGUGGUUACUGUUGUCUUCUAUGACACUGAUUUUAGACCUGCUGAUGGACACAAAGACUAAGGGAUGGCGUGACAGAAUUGCAAGAGGCAGAGAUAUCCAUACAUACAGGCUUGUAAGAGCUAGUUCUAUUGAAGAGAGGCUGUUGAAAAAGAGUAUUAAACAUAUGAUUCAAGAACUGGCUGCUCAGGGUGGGGAUUGUUCAACAGACUUUUUAUCUCAGGUCUUGGAUCAUGUCAGUGAUGUCAAUAACUCCUGUAACUAUGUUUAUCACUCUCGAAAGCAAUGAAAAAAUCAUUGCAUAAAAACCAUCGCAAGUCCGCAGGGAAAGAAUGAAGGUGGUCAUUCUCCGUGUUAGACAAACCUGUGCUAAAGACCAUAAUUCUGAGUGUAUUCAAAUCUAUAUACAUCACUUCAAGCUGAUGACAAUGACUACUAGAAAAAGAAGUUUCUCAAAUACAUUUCUGCACGAAUGUAUUUCAUGGGGACUUUUUUCUUAUCAAAGGCUCUGUGCGGACCUUUAGCCUUAAGGUAAAGCAGUGUUUACAGUCCAAGAAUAAAAUCUGUGCUCGUGCCGAUGUAAAGAAAAGCCUGAAGUGCUUCAGUAUCGCUCCAUCCGAUGUACCAGAAGUCCUUCCUCAUGUCCUGGGAGAACCUCCUGAGCAUCAGUGCGUGCCCGUUGUCUCUUGUCCUGUUACCACCGAGCAGAGCCGGUCCGCGCCCGGAGCUCCCUGCAGACACUGACAGGGAUGGAGGGAUGGGGUUCCCCCUCGGCCGCCUCUUCUCGAGGCUCCCUCAGCCUUUCCCCGCACGAGAGGUGCCGCAGCCCCUUCAUCACCUUUGUUUCCCUCGGCUGGCCCCGCUCCAGGCGCUCCCAGCCUCUCCUGCCCUGCGGAGUACAAACCCCGCGAGCUGCCAAGUGUGCAUUUUCACAGCGUGUCUUGAAGACGAACGCCAGCCCUGCUCCCUGCGCGGACAGAAAUGACCCUUUGCUGUGUCCUUACCCUCCCCUGCCUCUGCUACAAUAAAUACAAUUAUUUCUGCCCUGUC